Molecule: ribosomal RNA, 780 nt
Filed under: Arthrobacter sp. 17-2
Lineage: Bacteria; Bacillati; Actinomycetota; Actinomycetes; Micrococcales; Micrococcaceae
Description: bacterial SSU rRNA
Rfam family: Bacterial small subunit ribosomal RNA
Source: RNAcentral
GGGCGUAAAGAGCUCGUAGGCGGUUUGUCGCGUCUGCCGUGAAAGUCCGAGGCUCAACUUCGGAUCUGCGGUGGGUACGGGCAGACUAGAGUGAUGUAGGGGAGACUGGAAUUCCUGGUGUAGCGGUGAAAUGCGCAGAUAUCAGGAGGAACACCGAUGGCGAAGGCAGGUCUCUGGGCAUCUACUGACGCUGAGGAGCGAAAGCAUGGGGAGCGAACAGGAUUAGAUACCCUGGUAGUCCAUGCCGUAAACGUUGGGCACUAGGUGUGGGGGACAUUCCACGUUUUCCGCGCCGUAGCUAACGCAUUAAGUGCCCCGCCUGGGGAGUACGGCCGCAAGGCUAAAACUCAAAGGAAUUGACGGGGGCCCGCACAAGCGGCGGAGCAUGCGGAUUAAUUCGAUGCAACGCGAAGAACCUUACCAAGGCUUGACAUGUGCUAGAUCGCCAUAGAAAUAUGGUUUCCCCUUUGGGGCUGGUUCACAGGUGGUGCAUGGUUGUCGUCAGCUCGUGUCGUGAGAUGUUGGGUUAAGUCCCGCAACGAGCGCAACCCUCGUUCUAUGUUGCCAGCACGUUAUGGUGGGGACUCAUAGGAGACUGCCGGGGUCAACUCGGAGGAAGGUGGGGACGACGUCAAAAUCAUCAUGCCCCUUAUGUCUUGGGCUUCACGCAUGCCUACAAUGGGCCGGUACAAUGGGUUGCGAUACUUGUGAGGUGGAGCUUAAUCCCAAAAAAGCCGGUCUCAAGUUCGGAUUGGGGUCUUGCAACUUCGACCCCAUGAA